This is a non-coding RNA of Cicer arietinum (chickpea), 376 nucleotides long. The record is from RefSeq and is a predicted model, not a curated record. NCBI's taxonomy places the organism in Eukaryota, Viridiplantae, Streptophyta, Magnoliopsida, Fabales, Fabaceae.
AUUUUCUCAACCCAUAGAUUAUGUUCUCUUCAAUGUGAUUAAGUACAGCAAUGUUGAUUUGUAUAAUCACUUGAAAAACAAAAAUUUGUGUGCAAAAAUUGAUCUAAAUUAUCAAUCCAUAAUCUUGUCUCCAAGUGAAAGAGAACUUUUCUUUGUUGGAGCAGUUUUCCCUGGGGACACAUUGUUUAUAGAACCAGCCUAAGCUACAUGAAGUUAUGAACAAAAGAUUGAAACAAUCUUUUUAUUUUUUGUGAUGAAGUUGGUGUAACUAUAUGUAUGUAUGAAAUCAAGGAGACGGUAGUUUUAUGUAUGUAAAUGUUCCUAAGAACACUUGAUUAGGAACAUGUAUAUAUAAAUAUUGUAAUGGUUGAUUUUU